RNAcentral lists this ribosomal RNA (558 nucleotides) under Salmonella enterica subsp. enterica. RNAcentral's name for it is "partial 23S ribosomal RNA". It matches the Rfam family "Bacterial large subunit ribosomal RNA", at positions 1 to 591 of the family's 2925-position model. RNAcentral also lists the same sequence under 1 other name. The record is from RNAcentral. Lineage: Bacteria; Pseudomonadati; Pseudomonadota; Gammaproteobacteria; Enterobacterales; Enterobacteriaceae.
GGGUUGUGAGGUUAAGCGACUAAGCGUACACGGUGGAUGCCCUGGCAGUCAGAGGCGAUGAAGGGCGUGCUAAUCUGCGAUAAGCGCCGGUAAGGUGAUAUGAACCGUUAUAACCGGCGAUACCCGAAUGGGGAAACCCAGUGUGAUUCGUCACACUAUCAUUAACUGAAUCCAUAGGUUAAUGAGGCGAACCGGGGGAACUGAAACAUCUAAGUACCCCGAGGAAAAGAAAUCAACCGAGAUUCCCCCAGUAGCGGCGAGCGAACGGGGAGGAGCCCAGAGCCUGAAUCAGCAUGUGUGUUAGUGGAAGCGUCUGGAAAGGCGCGCGAUACAGGGUGACAGCCCCGUACACAAAAGCGCAUGUGCUGUGAGCUCGAUGAGUAGGGCGGGACACGUGGUAUCCUGUCUGAAUAUGGGGGGACCAUCCUCCAAGGCUAAAUACUCCUGACUGACCGAUAGUGAACCAGUACCGUGAGGGAAAGGCGAAAAGAACCCCGGCGAGGGGAGUGAAAAAGAACCUGAAACCGUGUACGUACAAGCAGUGGGAGCACCCUUCGG